This 790-nucleotide ribosomal RNA is filed under the name uncultured Staphylococcus sp. RNAcentral describes it as "bacterial SSU rRNA". It matches the Rfam family "Bacterial small subunit ribosomal RNA", at positions 129 to 905 of the family's 1533-position model. The record is from RNAcentral. Lineage: Bacteria; Bacillati; Bacillota; Bacilli; Caryophanales; Staphylococcaceae.
CCUAUAAGACUGGGAUAACUUCGGGAAACCGGAGCUAAUACCGGAUAACAUUUGGAACCGCAUGGUUCUAAAGUGAAAGAUGGUUUUGCUAUCACUUAUAGAUGGACCCGCGCCGUAUUAGCUAGUUGGUAAGGUAACGGCUUACCAAGGCGACGAUACGUAGCCGACCUGAGAGGGUGAUCGGCCACACUGGAACUGAGACACGGUCCAGACUCCUACGGGAGGCAGCAGUAGGGAAUCUUCCGCAAUGGGCGAAAGCCUGACGGAGCAACGCCGCGUGAGUGAUGAAGGGUUUCGGCUCGUAAAACUCUGUUAUUAGGGAAGAACAAAUGUGUAAGUAACUAUGCACAUCUUGACGGUACCUAAUCAGAAAGCCACGGCUAACUACGUGCCAGCAGCCGCGGUAAUACGUAGGUGGCAAGCGUUAUCCGGAAUUAUUGGGCGUAAAGCGCGCGUAGGCGGUUUCUUAAGUCUGAUGUGAAAGCCCACGGCUCAACCGUGGAGGGUCAUUGGAAACUGGGAAACUUGAGUGCAGAAGAGGAAAGUGGAAUUCCAUGUGUAGCGGUGAAAUGCGCAGAGAUAUGGAGGAACACCAGUGGCGAAGGCGACUUUCUGGUCUGUAACUGACGCUGAUGUGCGAAAGCGUGGGGAUCAAACAGGAUUAGAUACCCUGGUAGUCCACGCCGUAAACGAUGAGUGCUAAGUGUUAGGGGGUUUCCGCCCCUUAGUGCUGCAGCUAACGCAUUAAGCACUCCGCCUGGGGAGUACGACCGCAGGUUGAAAACUCAAA